GACGAACGCUGGCGGCGUGCUUAACACAUGCAAGUCGAACGGAAAGGCCCUGCUUGCGGGGUACUCGCGUGGCGAACGGGUGAGUAACACGUGGGUGAUCUGCCCUGCACUUCGGGAUAAGCUUGGGAAACUGGGUCUAAUACCGGAUAGGAGCCAUCUUUAGUGUGGUGGUUGGAAAGUUUUUUCGGUGUAGGAUGAGCUCGCGGCCUAUCAGCUUGUUGGUGGGGUAAUGGCCUACCAAGCGGGCGACGGGUAGCCGGCCUGCGAGGGUGUACGGCCACAUUGUGAGUGUGAGACAGGCCAGAGUCCCACGGGGGGCAGAAGUGGGGAAUAUUGCGCAAUGGGGGCAAGCCUGAGGCAGCGACGCCGCGUGGGGGAUGAAGGCCUUUGGGUUGUAAACUCCUUUCGCGAGGGACGAAGCGUUUUUGUGACGGUACCUAGAUAAGAAGCACCGGCUAACUACGUG
This 466-nucleotide ribosomal RNA is filed under the name uncultured bacterium. RNAcentral's name for it is "partial 16S ribosomal RNA". It matches the Rfam family "Bacterial small subunit ribosomal RNA", at positions 28 to 507 of the family's 1533-position model. The record is from RNAcentral.